AGCGAACGUUAGCGGCGGGCCUAACACAUGCAAGUCGAACGCGAAAGGUCUUCGGACUGAGUAGAGUGGCGCACGGGUGAGUAACACGUAGGUAAUCUACCCUUUGGCGGGGGAUAACGUUCCGAAAGGAGCGCUAAUACCGCAUAAGACCACGGAGUCUCCGGACGCUGUGGGAAAAGGUGGCCUCUUCUUGAAAGCUACCACCGAAGGAUGAGCCUGCGUCCCAUCAGCUAGUUGGUAAGGUAAUGGCUUACCAAGGCGAAGACGGGUAGCUGGUUUGAGAGAAUGAUCAGCCACACUGGCACUGGAACACGGGCCAGACUCCUACGGGAGGCAGCAGUGAGGAAUAUUGGGCAAUGGGCGAAAGCCUGACCCAGCCACGCCGCGUGAGUGAUGAAGGCCCUCGGGUCGUAAAGCUCUUUCAGCAGGAACGAAACGGUGGUCCCUAAUACGGACUACUAAUGACGGUACCUGAAGAAGAAGCACCGGCUAACUACGUGCCAGCAGCCGCGGUAAAG
Molecule: ribosomal RNA, 518 nt
Filed under: uncultured bacterium
Lineage: Bacteria
Description: bacterial SSU rRNA
Rfam family: Bacterial small subunit ribosomal RNA
Source: RNAcentral